CCUACGGGAGGCAGCAGUGAGGAAUAUUGGUCAAUGGGCGCGAGCCUGAACCAGCCAAGUCGCGUGAGGGAAGACGGCCCUACGGGUUGUAAACCUCUUUUGCCGGGGAGCAACGGGCGCCACGUGUGGCGCCACUGAGAGUACCCGGAGAAAAAGCAUCGGCUAACUCCGUGCCAGCAGCCGCGGUAAUACAGGGGAUGCGAGCGUUACCCGGAUUUAUUGGGUUUAAAGGGUGCGUAGGCGUAGCGUUAGGUCAGGGGUCAAAUUGAGGGGCCAAACCCCUUCCCGCCAUUGAAACUGGCGAUCUUGAGUGGAAGUGAGGUAGGCGGAAUGCGUGGUGUAGCGGUGAAAUGCAUAGAUAUCACGCAGAACCCCGAUUGCGAAGGCAGCAUGCCGGCUUCCGACUGACGCUGAAGCACGAAAGCGUGGGGAGCGAACAGGAUUAGAUACCCCGGUAGUC
Molecule: ribosomal RNA, 460 nt
Filed under: uncultured bacterium
Lineage: Bacteria
Description: partial 16S ribosomal RNA
Rfam family: Bacterial small subunit ribosomal RNA
Source: RNAcentral